This 576-nucleotide long non-coding RNA is filed under the name Triticum aestivum (bread wheat). RNAcentral's name for it is "long non-coding RNA (TAES_LNC020074)". The record is from RNAcentral. Lineage: Eukaryota; Viridiplantae; Streptophyta; Magnoliopsida; Poales; Poaceae.
UCAUAUCAUUGGUCACUAGUCGUAAUCACAAGUACUCCUCACAUCUUCAGCUCUAACACAUUGUAUCACAUAAUAAACAUAUUGUACCUCAUAGGACCUACUACAUUCUCUUAGGACCUACUAUAUUCUCUAAGGUAAAAUAGCAAAAAACAAGAUAGCCCCUCGCUCUCCAUUAUGGAGAAUGCAGAUUAUCCUGUCUCCAAUUCUUGCCUUUCGCUUAAUGUUGCUUGCAAGAACCUCCUUACGAAUGUCCAAACAUUUUUUCCACUCUUUGAUUAGCAUGUGUUCACCGGUUUCAGAAAUUCGAUAUGCACAGGUGAGAUCCGUAGGAUGACCUGGCUGUAGGUUCAGAACUUCAAGGCGACCAUUCUAAUACAUCAGAUGAGGCACACAAUCCAUCGGGAUUUUCUGUUGAAAAACAUAGUAAUAACUUCGUAGUUAGCAAUGAUGUACUAGUUUUAGAAGUAUAUAAAAGAUGCACGGAUGUCGUAAUAGUAAAAUAUCUUACCAGGGUAUCUCCAUAGAAGUUAUCGUGGUUCAACACGUGCACUAGUGGCACGUAUUCACCAUAAUUUG